Non-coding RNA from Salvelinus sp. IW2-2015, 309 nucleotides. Lineage: Eukaryota; Metazoa; Chordata; Actinopteri; Salmoniformes; Salmonidae. The record is from RefSeq and is a predicted model, not a curated record.
UCACAGUCCACUACAAAACCCUUUACAUCACACCAGCUACAUAACAGACCACCGCUUUACACAGAUCAACACCUGAAUUAAGAGAGUAGAAUUUCCUUUUUAAAGAGAAGGAAACCCCUUGACAAAGAACUUUACUUUUCACAUUUCCAAUCAAGACAAGAGGACACAUCAUAAGGAUGGGAUCUGCUGGGGUACAGAUUGUAUGUGUGGCCCUUGGGGUCCUGGGCCUGAUCGGGGGAAUUGUGUGCUGUGCCAUCCCAAGGUGGAAAGUGUUAUCAUUUACAGGACAGAACAUCGUAACGGCACAGG